UGUCGUCAGCUCGUGUCGUGAGAUGUUGGGUUAAGUCCCGCAACGAGCGCAACCCUCAUCCUUAGUUGCCAUCAGGUAAUGCUGAGUACUUUAAGGAAACUGCCAGUGAUAAGCUGGAGGAAGGUGGGGAUGAUGUCAAGUCAUCAUGGCCUUUAUGGAGUGGGCUACACACGUGCUACAAUGGUGUCUACAAUGGGCUGCAAGGUGCGCAAGCCUAAGCUAAUCCCUAAAAGACAUCUCAGUUCGGAUUGUACUCUGCAACUCGAGUACAUGAAGUUGGAAUCGCUAGUAAUCGUGGAUCAGCAUGCCACGGUGAAUACGUUCUCGGGUCUUGUACACACUGCCCGUCACGCCAUGGGAAUUAAC
This 366-nucleotide ribosomal RNA is filed under the name uncultured Wolbachia sp. RNAcentral describes it as "bacterial SSU rRNA". It matches the Rfam family "Bacterial small subunit ribosomal RNA", at positions 1050 to 1415 of the family's 1533-position model. The record is from RNAcentral. Lineage: Bacteria; Pseudomonadati; Pseudomonadota; Alphaproteobacteria; Rickettsiales; Anaplasmataceae.